Molecule: non-coding RNA, 851 nt
Organism: Ictidomys tridecemlineatus (thirteen-lined ground squirrel)
Lineage: Eukaryota; Metazoa; Chordata; Mammalia; Rodentia; Sciuridae
Source: RefSeq, a predicted model, not a curated record
CCCCUUAUAAGGACAAAACACCACCCUGAACCAAGAGCCCUGCCCUCAUCUCCUUAUAAGGGAACAAGCCAAGCUGAACCAAGGGCCCCACCCUGAUCUUAUCAUAAGGACACAAACCACACUGAACCAAGGGCCAGCAGAAAUAUCAAAGUCCUGCACAUGUCAAAACUUCUCUGAUGCCCAGAGCCUAAUAUAGAACUUAACCCCUUGGAGAUUUCCGUUUAUGUUGAUUCAUUGUCCAACUGGGUGGACAAACAGACAGAUGGACAGAUAAAGAGGUAGGAAGCAAAAAUGCCAGAUAUCCAGCUCAAUAUUGGACCCAGAAAGCACAGGGCCUGAUGACUUAGGUGACUGGUUGCAAUACACACAAAAAGAAGCAGACCUGCUUCUACUACAAAGCCUGGCAUGAUGCCUCUUAGCCAGUGUUGCCUGAUCCUUGAAGGCUUUAGCUCCUUGGUUUUCACCAACUCACCCUUGGAUCCCUUCCAGUCUGGGACAGUGCUUUUCAAGAUAGCUGCUACUGGGUCAACUGAUCAGAAUCUCCAGUGCUUUGUCCACAGGACUCUAAGUGGUCCUUCCAUCUGGUCUCAGCCAUUGUUUUCCACCAAUGUCUCAGCAUCCUUCAAGGUCCAGCACGCGCUACUUCUGCACCAGACACCAUGCUCAUCACAGGGAUUCCUGUGAUGUCAGCUGUAACUAGGCGGAUUUCGAAGUGUAGGUAGAGAGGUGAGUGCAACAUCUGGAGCCUCUUAACAGUGAGGAAAUCAUGUUUCUGUCCAAAAUAUGAAGGAUAGUAGAGCUAAAGACAAUUAGAUGCAGGGAGGAUUCUCUGAUCUCCUUUUGCCUGUAAG